GACGAACGCUGGCGGCGGGCUUAACACAUGCAAGUCGAACGGAAAGGCCCUGCUUUUGUGGGGUGCUCGAGUGGCGAACGGGGGAGUAACACGUGAGUAACCUGCCCUUGACUUUGGGAUAACUUCAGGAAACUGGGGCUAAUACCGGAUAGGAGCUCCUGCUGCAUGGAGGGGGUUGGAAAGUUUCGGCGGUUGGGGAUGGACUCGCGGCUGAUCAGCUUGUUGGUGGGGUAGUGGCUUACCAAGGCUUUGACGGGUAGCCGGCCUGAGAGGGUGACCGGCCACAUGGGGACUGAGAUACGGACCAGACUCCUACGGGAGGCAGCAGUCGGGAAUAUGGCACAAUGGGCGGAAGCCUGAUGCAGCAACGCCGCGUGCGGGAUGACGGCCUUCGGGUUGUAAACCGCUUUCGCCUGUGACGAAGCGUGAGUGACGGUAAUGGGUAAAGAAGCACCGGCUAACUACGUG
RNAcentral lists this ribosomal RNA (468 nucleotides) under uncultured bacterium. RNAcentral describes it as "partial 16S ribosomal RNA". It matches the Rfam family "Bacterial small subunit ribosomal RNA", at positions 28 to 507 of the family's 1533-position model. The record is from RNAcentral.